UUGAGAAUUCUCCAGGCACUUGGUUGUAGAAGGUAGAAUGGAAAUUACAACAAUAAAAUCCUAAUUUUAAUAGAAUACUAACAAUGCUAAAUAAGCUUUAAUCAAAUUUAGAGAAACUUCAAAGGAAUUCCAAAGAAAUAAUAAAAAAUCUUAAAGAAAUAUUAGAAUGAUUACAAACAUAUAUCAAAUACAUCUCAAUUCAAUCUUAAUUUAAUCCUAGUUGAAAACUUAUUGGAAUUUAUUCAAACUUUAGGCCAAAAACUAAUUAAAUCUUAAAUCCUAAAUAAACUCAAAUAAAAUCCUAAAUAAACUCAAAUAAAAUCCUAAAUCCUAAAUCAAAUCUUGAUCAAAUCCUAACCAAACCUUAAACCCUAAAUCAAAUCCUAAAUCCUAAAUCAAACCCUAAUCAAAGUCUAAACUUUAAACCCUAAACCAAAUCCUAAUCCUAAAUCAAAUCUUAACCAAAUCCUAAUAAAAUCCUAAUCCUAAAUUAAAUCCUAACCAAAUCCUAACUCUAAAUCAAAUCCUAACCAAAUCCUAAUCUUAAAUCAAAUCUUGAUCAAAUCCUAGUAAUUUCUACAACAAAACUAAACCUCAACAACUAAUGAAUGAA
RNAcentral lists this long non-coding RNA (613 nucleotides) under Physcomitrium patens. Its description in RNAcentral is "long non-coding RNA (PPAT_LNC006634)". Lineage: Eukaryota; Viridiplantae; Streptophyta; Bryopsida; Funariales; Funariaceae. The record is from RNAcentral.